Molecule: ribosomal RNA, 520 nt
Filed under: Streptomyces artemisiae
Lineage: Bacteria; Bacillati; Actinomycetota; Actinomycetes; Kitasatosporales; Streptomycetaceae
Description: bacterial SSU rRNA
Rfam family: Bacterial small subunit ribosomal RNA
Source: RNAcentral
CGAUCGAAGCCGCUUCGGUGGUGGCUUAGUGGCGAACGGGUGAGUAACACGUGGGCAAUCUGCCCUGCACUCUGGGACAAGCCCUGGAAACGGGGUCUAAUACCGGAUAUGACUGCCGGAGGCAUCUCCUGUGKGUGGAAAGCGUUAGUGGUGCAGGAUGAGCCCGCGGCCUAUCAGCUUGUUGGUGGGGUGAUGGCCUACCAAGGCGACGACGGGUAGCCGGCCUGAGAGGGCGACCGGCCACACUGGGACUGAGACACGGCCCAGACUCCUACGGGAGGCAGCAGUGGGGAAUAUUGCACAAUGGGCGGAAGCCUGAUGCAGCGACGCCGCGUGAGGGAUGACGGCCUUCGGGUUGUAAACCUCUUUCAGCAGGGAAGAAGCUUUUAUCGGUGACGGUACCUGCAGAAGAAGCACCGGCUAACUACGUGCCAGCAGCCGCGGUAAUACGUAGGGUGCGAGCGUUGUCCGGAAUUAUUGGGCGUAAAGAGCUCGUAGGCGGCGUGUCACGUCGGAUGUG